UUUUUCUCUCAUUUCUGCAAAGAUAUCAGUAUUUUUGCUACAAGAAAUCUGAAAGAAAAAAAUGGCAUACAAUCUUCAAUCCCUGAUCACAAUCCUACAACAAAUCCUUCAUCCUGAUCAAACCCACUGGACUUUUGAUCACAACAAACCACAGCUCGAAUCCCUAAUCCAAAUAGCUGAAUCUCUGAUGCAAAUUCUUGAAAAGUCUUCACAUACCCAAAUAGCAAGUUUUGAGAGUCAAAUCAGAGAUACAGUGUACAAAGCAGAGGAUAUUAUUGAGUCAAAGAUGGUUAAUCAAAUGCUCUCCAACCCAGAAAGCAAGAGCUUGACCUUUUCCACACCAUAUCUGCAACAAGUCACUCAAGAGCUUGAUUCUGUACUGGUUUUGAUGGCUGAGAAGAUGAUGACUUCAUCAGAUUUGCAGCAAGCAACUCAACAACUUGAAUCUAUGAAGCUCGUGGCAGUGGAGAAAAAGAGUGCUUCUUCUUCCUCGAGAUCUAAGAGUGAUUUGGUGGGAGUUGAUGCAAUUCUGUUAAAGUUGAAGGAUCGUCUCACGAAUUCGGAGAAGAGGGUGAAGAUUGUACCCCUCGUUGGUAUGGGUGGUAUAGGUAAGUCCACCCUUGCUCGAAAACUUUAUGAAGACUCGUGUACUGUUUCUCACUUUGAUUAUUGUGGGUGGGCUGUGAUUUCACAAGUUCCCAAUAUGCGGGAAAUUAUGUUAAGUCUUCUUUGCGGCCCGGAUGAAAAAGUAAGUGAUGAAUUGAUUGGAUGCGGGGAAAAUGAGUUGAGAGAAAUAUUGUAUAAGAGAUUGUUUGGGCGAACAUAUAUAAUUGUGUUGGAUGAUAUAUGGAGCACAAAAGUGUGGGAUGAGAUAAGGAUGUAUUUCCCAGACAACAGUAAUGGGAGUCGGAUUGUGAUCACCACUAGGGAGUCUGAUGUGGCGAAGCAUGUUGUAGGCUCAAAGAGUCUGCAUCAUGUACGGCUGCUGAACAAGUCCGCGAGUCGGGAUUUACUUUGCCAGAUUGUGUUUGGAGAAGAGGAUUGCCCUGACGAACUGCAAGAGGUGGCAGCUAAGAUUGGGAGUGAUUGCAGUGGGCUUCCUCUUGCCAUUCAUGUGAUUGGAGGGCUCUUGUCAAAACUAGAAAGAUCGAGAGAUGUCUGGGAGAAUGUUUCAACGGAUGUAAAAGCUUCAAUUGUUGAAUCGGAUGAGCAUUUCUCAAAUAUACUUUCCUUGAGUUAUAAUCACUUGCCAAUUCAUUUGAAACCGUGUUUCUUAUACAUGGGAGCUUUUCCAGAAGAUUAUGAAAUUAAGGGUUCUAGACUUAUGAGUUUGUGGAUAGCUGAGGGAUUUGUGAAAUCCAAUGGAGAUAAGCGUUUGGAGGAAGAGGCUGAGACUUACUUACAAGCUCUGGUACUUUUGGUUAGACGAAAAAAGUACAAUGGGAAACCAGUAAGUUACUAUAUCCAUGAUAUUUUGAGGGAUCUAUGUUUAAGGAAGGCUAAUGAGGAAAAGUUUUUAAACCUCAAGGAUUCCAUGCGUCGUGCAAGUGUUCACUCGUCAUCUGAGAUAGAAGAUGUGUGUGCCUCACCACAAUUGAUGUCACUUGCUCGAUCUAUCAUAUGCACUGGGAAGAAGAUUGCAUCUCCGGUGUUUUCCAUGCUAAGAUUGGUUAGGGUGCUAGAUGUGAUGGAAAUCGAAUACAAAGUGUUCCCUGAAGAAAUACUUCAACUUGUCAACCUACGCUACUUAGCUUUCUCAUGCCCUUCAGGUUUACCUAUUGGAAUAUCAAAAUUGUGGAAUCUGCAAACCUUGAUUUGUAUGCGCGGUAUGUAUCCUUAUUUGCCAUCAGAGAUAUGGGAGAUGUCCGAGUUAAGACGCCUCAAUUUGGCAACACUCAAUGAAAUUGGGACGGAAUUCAGGUUUAGAUUUGUUCAUAAGAAGCUGCAUAAGAUAUUCAUUGUGAGGAUAACUCCUUCAAUGAUUAGGAAUGGUUUCUUUGAGACCAUCCCAAAUAUCAUUAGCUUAGGAAUCACUUUCAAGAAUUCACCGGACAGUGAAGUUGAUCUUAGCCAUCUUCACAAACUCGAAAUUUUAAGAUGCUCUACCAACCGUAAAAAAGAUCCUUGCCGUUUUCUGCACAAACUCAGAUUUCCAUGUAAUAUUAGAAAGUUAGUUCUAAUUGGAUGUGCAGUAGCUCAGAGUUUCUUGACAACUCUUUGUGCACUACGAUAUCUGGAAGUGCUCAAAAUAAGGUCUUGUAUGUUUGAAAGAGACGGAGAGGCAGAGGAAGAAGAGUUGGAGGUGACAGAAGGAGAUGAAUUCUGCUCAUUGCUGUUUCUGCGCCUCGAGUCCUUAAAGAUAGGGCGUUGGAAAGCCGACGAGACGAACUUCCCCAAACUCCGGGUGCUUCAUGUAAUCAGAUGUAAGGUGUUAAAGGAAAUCCCCCGUGACAUUGGAGAUAUCCCGACCCUCCAAACAAUUUUCGUAAGUGAAUGUGGCUCUUCCGUCGUGGCCUCAGCGCAAGAAAUUGAGAAGGUUCAGCAAGAGGAGUACGGCAACUACGACCUCAAAGUGCUCAUACAAGAUUAGAAGCCAAAAAGGUACAAAUGCUAAACAAUAAGCAAUUAAAAGAGCAUGCUCCAUUUGUUCAUAUACAACACAAUCUAGUCCUUAAUAUUCGUUUUGAACUUAAAAUCGUUGGUAUACUUUCUUGAUUACGACUUGUGGUUAUUAAACUGUGUGUCUUCUGUAUGGUGAAACGAGUCUGCAGCUUGAAUAGUUUCAGCAUAACACAAGCACUCGUGUGAUAGGGUUUAAGUUCCCUAUCAAGAAAUUUGUAGAGCACUCGAAGAUUGAACGGAAAGAAAUCGAUAAUUCCCUAGUUGAAGUUCUAGGGUUUUGGAACAAGAAUGAGAAAAGAAUUAUUUUAUUUCUUAAUUCUCAAUACUCAAAAGACUAAACAUAGUUCUCCUUAUAUAAGAAUUCUACCGAGAUGAAAAUAGCUAAUAAAUCAAAGACGAGAUAUUAAAAGAUAUGACUAACUAAUCAAAGAUAUGUUUCCAUCUAAAAUAAUAUUUAUUUGGAGACAUAAUCUUGAUAUCUAAUUAACUUGGAUUCCAUGCGUUUGAUGUGGGCUUGAUCGGUUGAAGAGCAUUGGGAGGGCCAAGCCCCUAUCAACUCCUCCUCCCAAGAAAACCGCCUUGUCCUCAAGGCGUAGAUGACAAAAAUGUAGCAGAAGAUCAAUUUUAUAACUCCAUAUUCUGAAGCUCGAAUUUGAAGCAACACACAUAGCUUACUACGAGCAGCCACGUUUGCUUCCUCUGCAGCUGAUUGCCUAGCAUCUGAUCUUGCCAUCUCUAAUGCAAUUUGAACAGCUAGCCCUUCCUCUGCACUUGCACUAGCUAGAAUAAGUGUUGGAUCGGGCUCGACGCUAGGAGUCCCACUUGCAUUCUCCUCGAAGCUUGUAUUCUUUGUAGUUGGACCUUGAAUCAUUUGCAGUUUGUGGGGCGAAUGUUGGCCAACCACAUCAACUAUGUUAAAAACAACCUCUUCGAACUUUCUCGAGGUAGCAGCAACACAAUGCAAUGAAAAAAUCCAUAAGAAAACAAUGAAACCAAUGAACAAACCCUUGAAUUUGUAGGAACUCUACUGUUGUGUCAACAUCAGCAACAUAGCGUAUUGCAGCCUUAUCAUCCAUAAUCGUCUCUGGAUAAUCAUCGACAAUGUUCCCCAAAACACCAUCACUCAGAGCAUAGUGGCGCCCCAUCACUUCAGUAAGGAUUGCAAUGGAGAGAUCAGCCAACUCGACUUGGAACGAGUAAGAAAAUAGGAAAUAUGCCCACUCUGAUCCAUCCUUUGUGAUAGCCACCCCUCUCACCAAUGCAUCAACUUCUUUAAGAGCUAACUUCCUUAUAAAACCAUGAGAAUCAAUCCAAUAAGAACAUGAGUGAUUCCUCCUCAAGGUGGAAGUACUCUCAAAAUCUCCUGGGUCGAAAACACACACUCCUUUCUUCAUGCCAAACUGAAGAAGUUCACGUCCCCAUCGUGUUAAAGCAGUAGAGAGAGUCGACGACAUCGGCCAUGUUGCUCUUGGGUCUCGACCUGGACAAGACAAGGAUACUUCGUGACCCAAUCUGGACUUGCGUGCAUAUCCGGUGGAGUUCACAGCUGACUCAUGGCUUUUGCGCAUGUUUGGAGCAGCGACAACGGCUGAAGUUACUCGCAACAGUGACUGCUUGUUCGUGACAGCAGUGCUGAUCCGUGACAGCAGCGAGUCCACGGCAGAAGCAUUAGCAGCACGGCUGGAGCAGGUCGGUCUGGCACUUUCAAACCUAUAGUAAUGUUUGUGCACGCUAUACCAUCACUUCUUUCCCUUGUAUCCUCUAAAGUAAUGCACAGCAGUUCAAAAUGUUGUUUUCCUAGAGUAGCUGUUGCGUCGUCCUUUCCAUAAUCAUUUUCAUGAAACCUCUCGUUACAUCUUGCCCCCACAGUAGCGUAAUCCAUCUCCACCUCAAGAUUAAGCGGGAUUGACGAUGGCUUGACAAGAGGCGUGUCCAGAGCAUUGAUAUCAGCAUGUAUCAGUACCACAGAUGGGCUCAUCUCGUGAGGAUCGAGGGGAAACCACACAAAAUCUGUUCAAUGACGCAAUAGAUGAAAAUGAGCCAGGUGUUCGGAAAGGUGGUGGUCUCCAACCCACACGAAAGCUCCUGUCCAAAUGUUGUACAACAUUAUGUCGAGGACUCGAGCUGGCCUCCAAGGAUACACUGCUUUUAUCACCUAGAUCCGACGAAACUCCCUUGUUCACUACGUCUUCUUCCACUGGAUAUGUUGAGCCGUCUCUUGGCAGAAUGGGCUCAGUAAGAGCCUGAACUUGCGCAGCUUGCUCCACGUCAUGCCUGAUGCCAUGGAUAUCGUCGCCAACGCUCAUUUCACUAGCCAUAUGCAGAUCACUACAAGUUUGGACAAAGAGAUCGUCAUCUGGGUUGUGCUCCUUAACAGCCAUAAUUGUUUGCUUGACUUCCUCUAUUCGUGGAAGUGGCUCCUUGACGACCAUAAUUGGCUCCUGGUUCGCAAUAGGGUACGCCGUUGGGCGUAUAGGUUGUCGCUGGUCUCGGCUGGUCUCUCCAGUCCAUCGAAACGGCCCAAAUGAGGCAGGCGCCGCAUAGGGCUUAUAGAAUUCGAGAUCAAACCAUUGUUUUACAACCAAUAAGAAAUCAUCCCAACCCUUACCUUUGUUAGUUUCCAUCCAAUAUUCCUCCAAUCUAAUGCUGGGUGAUCGAACAAAUAUUGUGUAAGAUAAAGACGAUCAUCUAGCGGUGUGUGGUGGUGAUUAUAGUAAUUCUGGAUCUUACGGAUCCAAUCUGGGGCAUUCUCUCCGUCGAAACGUGGUGGCUCGCGGCGGAGGCGUGGUACGGCCCAGGGUUUGAUACCCAGCGGUGGGUUUGUGAUCGACGGCGGAAGAGACCAGUCCCACUGUGGUGGCAUGACGGGUUGUUGGUCCGGCGGCUCCUUCGGUCUCUCAUGCAGAAGUGAGCACUCGGCAAGGCUGCCCGGGCCUCUGCGAUCUGCGUUUGCUGCUCGAAAUUCUCCACCAAAGCCUGAUUUUGAGCUUUGAUCAUUCGGUUUAAUUCCAAGAGCAUAUCAUCGAUGGUUGGGUGGUGUUGUUGUGAUUCCUUAUGAAUAGACAUGAUAUUUUGAGAAGAUAGGUUUAUGCGUGUGAAUGAAGGUGUUCAAGCAACAAAAGCUAAGGGUUUCAAUAGUGGACGUGAAUUUGAGAGAAAUUGAUUAUGGUGGGAGAAGAGUAAUCAAUGGAAGCACCAAUUGAUAGGGUUUAAGUUCCCUAUCGAGAGAUUUGUAGAGCACUCGAAGAUUGAAUGGAAAGAAAUCGAUAAUUCCCUAGUUGAAGUUCUAGGGUUUUGGAACAAGAACGAGAAAAGAAGUAUUUUAUUUCUUAAUUCUCAAUACUCAAAAGACUAAACAUAGUUCCCCUUAUAUAAGAAUUCUACCGAGAUGAAAAUAGCUAAUAAAUCAAAGACGAGAUAUUAAAAGAUAUGACUAACUAAUCAAAGAUAUGUUUCCAUCUAAAAUAAUAUUUAUUUGGAGACAUAAUCUUGAUAUCUAAUUAACUUGGAUUCCAUGCGUUUGAUGUGGGCUUGAUCGGUUGAAGAGCAUUGGGAGGGCCAAGCCCCUAUCAUCGUGGCUCGAGCUAAACAUAUGUAGUGUAAUAAAAGCUGAUGCUGCUCUUACAACGCUUGCAAUAUGCUGCUAAACGUCUCGUGAUUGUAAUGUGAUUGUACAAAUGUAUGCCUUCUUCCCAACUAUUGCUCUGUUUUCUUCAAAUAUAUGCUAAGUGAUUCGAAUCUCCAAUUUAUUGAUUGAAACUGUCGUGUUGACAUGUUGCUGA
Molecule: non-coding RNA, 6404 nt
Organism: Salvia hispanica
Lineage: Eukaryota; Viridiplantae; Streptophyta; Magnoliopsida; Lamiales; Lamiaceae
Source: RefSeq, a predicted model, not a curated record